Molecule: signal recognition particle RNA, 267 nt
Filed under: Aquibacillus koreensis
Lineage: Bacteria; Bacillati; Bacillota; Bacilli; Caryophanales; Bacillaceae
Description: Virgibacillus koreensis Bacterial large signal recognition particle RNA
Rfam family: Bacterial large signal recognition particle RNA
About the family: The signal recognition particle (SRP) is a universally conserved ribonucleoprotein involved in the co-translational targeting of proteins to membranes. Archaeal SRP consists of a 7S RNA and homologues of the eukaryotic SRP19 and SRP54 proteins.
Source: Rfam by way of RNAcentral
CCGUGCUAGGUGGGGAGGUAGCGGUGCCCUGUAACUCGCAAUCCGCUAUAGCGAGGCUGAAUUCCCAACUGAGGUGGAGUAGUUUUAAGGUCUGCCUUAAGGGAUUGGUGUUGACACUCGGGUCCUGCGCAACGGGAACCCGUGAACCCUGUCAGGUCCGGAAGGAAGCAGCAGUAAGCGGUGCUUCUCGUGUGCCGCGGGGAAGCCUGGGUCGAGCCAUGAACUUAAGUAACGCUUAGGACUAUUUCAACGAAGUUGGGUGCACGG